AAAGAAAAGGUAAAGAAUUACCAAAUAUGACUAAUAUAUAUAUAUUUGACAAUUAAUGAUUUUAAUAAUAAAGAUUUGAUAACAAUUUGUGUCUCCUCCAUUAUUUUUUCGUAUAAUAAUUAAUUGUUUUAAUAAUAAAGAUUUGAUAAAUUAAAUAAUCAAAUUAAAUAUAAAAUUUAAAUUUAGAUUUUUCAUAUAUGUUAUAUUUUUAAUUUUGAAAAUGACUAUAAACUACUAAAAGUGUUAAAAUUCUUAUGUUAAAAAAUUUAUGAUCUAUGGUUUAACUUUUCUGUUAUAACAAAAAUAGAAAAAAUAUUUUAAUUUCAAAAUUUGCAAUGAAUUUUCAAGAAAAUUGAUGAAUUAUAAAAUUAUUAAAAGUCUCACAUUGAAAAAUUUGUUAUCAAUGAUUUAAAAAUUUUAUUAUAAGAAGAUAUGAAUGAUCAUAAAACAUAUGAUUAUGAAGUCUCAUUUAAUAGAUAACCAUAUUAAAAUAUACUAUAUAUCUAUGUUAGUAUCAUUUAAAUUAAAUUAUAUACAAAAUAGAUAAAGGUGGUUAUUUAGAUUUACUUACCAUAAAAUGAUAGUAAAUAAAUAAAAGUGAUUUGUUCGAUUUAUGUGUUUGCACCAGUUUAAUUAUAUACCUAAUAAUUAAUGUUUCUCAAUUAUUCAAUAUAUAUUUAUAAUUUGUUAUUACAUAAUGUAAAAGAACGUAAAAUAAGUAAUAGUUUAUAAAAUAAUUUGUAUAUUGUAUAUACAACGUUCAUUCCGCACAAGAUACUUAUAAAGGGUUAUUAUUCGGCAUGUCUUUAUUUGUUAACUAUUAUUAAAAUGCAGAAAAAUGUAUAGUAGAAUUUAUAAUCACCAGAUAUAAUUGUUUUUAUAAAUUCACCCCGCACAAGGUGCAUGUUAUCACUUACUGAUAAAUUAUUAUUUAAUUCUUACGUAUCAUAAACUUUGAAAUUUCUUUGUAUACUAUAUUCAUGAUAUAGAAAUAAAACUUAAAAAUCACUCAAUAAUCUCUUUUCAAUUAUAAAAUUAAUAAUUUUACUUCAUUAAUAUUUAGUUAUGUAUUUUCCAUUUUUUCUAAUUUUUAAAUUUCAGACAACAACACAGUAUAUAUAUGAAUUAUCUUUUUAUAUUAAAAUAUAUUUUAUAUUUUGGAUAAUUCUUAUAAUUGUUAAUUUAAAUCAUUUAUCUAAUAAAUAGUUACAAUUUAUUUUUAUUUUGUGACUAAUUUAUAUAUUUUAUUCCUUAAGGGUAUAAACGAUAUCUAACUAUUAAGCUGAGAACAAAAAUACGAAAAACCAUUUCGCAAAUAAGAGUAUAGAUAUUAUCUUUAUUUAUUAUAUUUAAUAAUUAAAUAAUUAUAUUUAUUUAUAUACAGUAAUAAAAAUCACUUAAAAUAAAAGGUAAACUUGCAUAAAUAAUAAUCAAGUAAAAGAAAAUUAACUAUUUAUUAUCAUUAUCUAAAAUAUUAAUUAAUAUCUUAUUAUCCAAAAUUAAUAAAAACGGAUAUAUGUAUAUAUAUUUAUAUAUUUAUCAAGUUAAUAUAAAUAAAAUAGAAUUAUUAACCAAUUGUAGUUGUUAAAAUAAUCAUUAUCAUUUUUAGUAUAAAAAUGUUUAUAAAAAAAUAUAUAUUUUAUCAUAUACUUUCAUUAUGAGUAAAAGAUGGUGAUAAAAUUAAGGGGGAUUUGCCAAAAAUGACUCAAAACUUGAUUUUGAAUACAAAAGUGUACCCCAAAUUCAAUCAAAUGCAAAAGUAACCCAAAAGCCUAGUGAAAUUACAACAGCCCCCUUAUGAACAAACAAAAAAACUGUAUUCAGUUUUACCAUUAUAAACCUCUGUUAGAGAAGACUUCUUUGUAAGUCUUCUCUACGAUGACUUCUUUGUAUGUCUUCUCUACGAUGACUUCUUUGUAAGUCUUCUCUAUGAUGACUUCUUUGUAAGUCUUUUCGUUCAGUAGAUCUUAAAAAUAAUUUUAUAAUUUUAUAAAAAAUAUUUUGAUGGGUAAAAAAUUGAAAUCAUGUAAUAAUAAACAUUUCUCAAUGAUGUAAAUUUAGUUCAUCUGAAAUUGAAUUAUUUUCAACAUAGAUGAGUGAAUGUAUAUUGGCUCAUGAGUCAUUGGUUUAGGGUUUGGUAACAUAUGUUAUAGUAUUGUAUGUAUCUUUAGGGUUAGAUUCUGAAAUCUUACCUUCAUUUUUUUUUUUUUCAAAUUGACUCAUAUAUAUUUAGUAACUAUCUAAUAACUUGAUUUAAACACUUUCUAAGUUUUUUUUUUAAGUUUAAGAAAGUGUUUUUUGCAUAGUUAAUUGAUUUUAGGAUCUGGAAGACUCAUAGAAGACUUAAAAAGAAGUCUUCAGACACAUCUCGCCUAAAUUUUAGUAGAAUUUAUGGUUCCCGCCUAAAUUUUGGAAUAAUUUAGGUUUCCCGCCUAAAUCAAAGUCUUCCAUAAGUUUUUCAGGAGUCUUCCAUAAGUCUUCCAGGAGUCUUCCAUAAGUCUUCUCAUGGGUUAGAUCUUAAAAAUAAUUUAAAAUUUUAUAAAAAAUAUUUUAAUGGGUUAAAAUUUGAAAUCAUGUAAUAAUAAACAUUUCUCAAUGAUGUAAAUUUAGUUCAUCUGAAAUUGAAUUAUUUUCAACAUAGAUGAAUGAAUGUAUAUUGGCUCAUGAGUCAUUGGUUUAGGGUUUGGUAACAUAUGUUAUACUAUUGUAUGUAUCUUUAGGGUUAGAUUCUGAAAUCUUACCUUCAUUUUGUUUCUUUUUCAAAUUGACCAAUAUAUGUUUAGUAACUAUCUAAUAACUUGAUUUAAACACUUUCUAAGUUUUUUUUUUAAGUUUAAGAAAGUUGUUUUUUGCAUAGUUAAUUGAUUUUAGGGUGUGGAAGACUCACAGAAGAAUUAAAGAGAAGACUUCAGACACAUCCCGCCUAAAUUUUAGUAGAAUUUAUGGUUCCCGCCUAAAUUUUGGAAUAAUUUAGUUUUCUCGCCUAAAUCAAAGUCUUCCAAAAGUCUUCCAGGAGUCUUCUAAAAGUCUUCCAGGGGUCUUCCAUAAGUCUUCCAGGAGUCUUCCAUAAGUCUUCCAGAAGUCUUUAGGGUCAAAAAUAUUUAACCUAAUUGGAAUUUUUGUCUCCAUAUAUAAAAAAUAUAUACACAUUAUCUUUCUUCCUCUCAAAUGACUGUAACAAAAAUGUAAUGUUUCUCACUCUAAAACUCUCCAACGUCUCUCUAAUCUCUUUGAACAUCAAAACACCAAACUUUAUAUCCAUUUCUCUUUUUUUUCUAUGUCUUCUCACUAAUUUAUCUUCUUUUUGUAGGUUUUUCAUUACAUGGUUCUCAUCUUUCACUCUUUCAAAGGUAAAUCUCUAAAUUUUGGAUAUGAAUUUAUGUGUGUGUUUAUAUGUUAGAUUCUAAAAAGCUAUAGAUUCAACAUAGUGUGACUGUUUUGUUUAUUUUGUAAGCAUAAAAUUUUCAUUUUUGAGGUUUUUCUCUGUUUAGAAGUCAUUUGAAUGGUUUUGAAUUUGCAGAUUUUUCCAAAUCUGAGAGACUUUGAAAGACUUCUCAGAAGACUCUCGGAAGAUUUCUCAGAAGCCUUCUUAGAAAGUUUUCUAAUGCAUUAUAAGCUAGAAGACUUCCCACAAAGUCUUCAGGAAGUCUUCGAAGUCUUCUGCCUAAAGUGGUAUAAAUUUUUUGCAAAAGUAACCCACGCAGACAUAUUCCGGCAUUGAGAAGACUUAGGGAAGACUUUCAGAAGACUUCUAUAGAAGUUUUCUCGAGGAAGACUUCCUUAGAAAUCUUCUACAAAAAGUCAAAUUUCUGACCAACUUCGGUCAAAUUUAAAAGUAACAUGUUUAUCCGAGAAGACUUCUAAAGAAGUUUUCUCUGGGAAUUUCGAAUUUUUUUGUUUACAGAAGACUUCUUGGGAAAUCUUCUAAUGUAUUUUAUGCUAGAAGACUUCCCACGAAGUCUUCAGAAAGUCUUCCAAAGUCUUCUGCCCAAAGUGAUACAAAGAGAUGAUGUGAAGUGGAGUCCAAGCUUAUCUAUGUUGAGGAAUAAUAUCUAGUUGUGUAAUAAUUUUGUUUAUCGUCUUUUUAUGAUUUGUAUGUGUAAUAUUUUAGUUUUGAAUUAUUUUGUAAACUUUAAGAGAUGUUAGUCAAAAGAAAGGUAAAUACGUUCAAGUUUUGCCAAAUGUACUUGACUUCAUUAAACCUAUUGAUGCAACAUACCAAAAAAAUAUUUUAAUCAUUCUACCCACACAUAACAAUAUACAACAACACAAAAACUUAGUAAAAUUUGCUAAAACUAAGAGAGAAGACUUCUCAAGAAACCUUAGUCAAAUUCACAAAAGAUCAAAAUUGAAUUUUAAGUGAAAGUUGAAAUUUUAAAUCUCAUGGAAGUUAAAAAUUGUAUCUUAUGAGGAAGACAACACAAACAGAGAACAUCAACUCAAUAAAACAAAAUCAUCGGAGAAGACUUCUUAUGAAGUCUUCUACAAGUCUUCUAUGAGGAAGAUUUACAGAAGACUUCUCUGUUUAGGUAGAAACAUUAUUAAACAUCAAUGUUUGUAACUUCAUCAUUAUCACCAAUUAAGUUAUAAUUUCGACUCAGUAGUCCCAAUAUUGACUAAUAAACAUGAAUUAGCAAGAAGAUAUUAAAAAUUCAUUUUAAUUUUUGAUAAAUUUGAAGUUUAAUAAAGAUUUACGUAGAAGACUUCUUUUGAAGUCAUCUAUGGAAGACUUCAAAAGAAGUCUACUCUGUGUAGACUUCAAAAGAAGUCUUCUAUUUAGGUCAUUUUUGCAAUUGCAAAUUUACGAAGGAAAACUUCUUAAGAAGUCUACUCUACAGAAGACAUCUUCGCAAGUCUUCUUUUGUAAAUAUUGGCUUACUUUUGAAAUUGAAAUUUUUUCGAAAUUCCCAGAGAAGUUUUCUCGGAUAAAUAGGUUACUUUUGAAUUUGACCGAAGUUAAUCAGAAUUUUGACUUAUUGUAGAAGACUUCUAGGGAAGUCUACCUAGAGAAUACUUCAAAAGAAGUCUUCUCUAAGUCUUCCGGAAGUCUUCUCAACGUCGCAAGAAGUCUGCUGGGUUACUUUUGCAAUUGACUAUAUUUGACUUUUCGAGAGAAGACUUCUUUAGAAGUCUUCCGUCGGAUGAUUUCUCUAGAAGUCUUCUCUCGCGAGCAAAUGUUUGACCAAAACCCAGAAUUAAACUCGAGAAGACUUAUAAAUUAAAUGUUUUACUAUUAUUUUUCAAUUGCAAAAGUAACUCACGCAGACAUCUUCCGGCAUUGAGAAGACUUAGGGAAGACUUUCAGAAGACUUCUAUAGAAGUUUUCUCGAGGAAGACUUCCUUAGAAAUCUUCUACAAAAAGUCAAAUUUCUGACCAACUUCGGUCAAAUUUAAAAGUAACAUGUUUAUCCGAGAAGACUUCUAAAGAAGUUUUCUCUGGGAAUUUCGAAUUUUUUUGUUUACAAAGGAAAUUCAGAAGACUUCUAAGGAAGUCUUCUAUUAAAACACACAAAAGGUCAAUUGCAAAAGUAACCUAUGCAUUGACCAGAAGACUUCUAAAGAAGUCUUCUUCGUCGAACAGAUCUGAAAAAUAAAAUGUAGUUCGCGAUUUCAUGCCUUGAACUCGUGAGAUAACUUGCGUGGUUUCUCCAAUCACCCAGAACUUCACCACAACAGCUACCUACUCGUUAAUCACCAAGAAUUUUGAGCUUAUGAAUCUUACAUAAUUUGUAAUCAAAAUCUUCAGUUUUUUUUAUGAAUUUUGAGAGAAAGUGUAAGAUAUGUGGUUUGUGUGGAUAGGAAAUGAGAAAGGAUGAGAAAAAAAUCGAAACUUUAGGGCAUUAACACUCUCAAUUUGGUAGUUCAUGGUGGUUGACGUAUUGAUGUCAAUGGCAAAGUUGUAAAUAUUUGGUGGAAGAUAAGGAUGGUAAGGUAAAAGCAUUAUUUUCGAAAAAAAAAAGCAAUGACAUUUUCGUGAAUAACUAGAACUUCUAGGGUGAAUAGGACAAAACAAAGUUUCAAAAAAAGCAUAGGUUAUUUUUAGGGUUGACUUGAAAUUUUGAGUCAUUUUUGAAAGAACCCCUAAAAUUAACGUCAUUGAUGAAGAUUUUUGGGAGAUUUCACCUAACGUAUAGUUGGAGGCAAUAUAAUAGAAAUAUGUGAUGAUUUCAAAUAAAUAAUGUAUGUCUAAAUUUUUUAAGAUGGUUAUGCCUGUAUAUGCGGGCACAACACAUGGUUUAUUUAUUAUUUGAGAAUAUGUUAAUCAAUAGGUAAGAGUAUUAUAUUUACAACAUAUUUUAAAACUAUAAUAUAUAUUAUUUUCUGUUAAAAUUAAUAUAUAUUUCCCCGAUUUUAUUUAUUUUUUUAUUGGUCAUACACUGAAUAGUAUAUGCAUGAUAUUAAUACAAAAUGUUAAAUAUAAAAAAUGCAUCAAUAUAAAUUUUUAUUUGAUUUUCUCCUUUUAGUUAAAAGUCUCUAGAAAGUUAGAAUUACAAGUAAUAUAUUAUUUAAUUCUAGAUGAUGUAUAUAGUAUAACAUAUUUAUUCUUAAAAUUUUCAUAAUACAUUGAUUAAAAUUCUUGUGCUAAAUAUUUUUUUAGUCAAAAUAAACUAAUUAACAAUUAUUUCAAGCAUAUUUCACCAUUUUAAUUUGACUCAUUUAUACAUAUAUAUUGAUUAAACUAUUUUUGUCAUCAAUUUUUUUUUACCAAUCAAAUUUGUUAUAUUUUAUAGCUAUUUUUCUUUAAGUAUUAGAUUUCAACUAACUAGUUUAAAAAUAUAGAAAAUAGUAUAUAUUUAUGUCACAUUACUUUUACAAUUACAGUAGAAACUCAAUAAAUUAAUAAUGUUGAAACUAUAGUAUUAUAUUAAUUUAUAGAGUUAUUAAUUUAUAAAAAUUUCUUUUUAUAUUCUAUUUUUGGAAUACAUUUUUAUGAUAAGAAAAAUGGUUGAUUUCACUUUUUAUGUUCAUUAAAUUUUAUAAAUUUAUCUUUCAUAUCAAUUUUAUUAUAUUAUUAAUAUAUAUGAUAUAUAUAUAUAUAUAUAUCAUACAAUUUAAAUGUGUGUUAUAGAGAUAAUUUUAUUAAAUAAUAUCAAAUAUUAUGAAAUUUCAAGAAAAGGUAAAAAUAAAAUUUACUGACAAUAUUAAAAAACAACAAAAUACUUUAUUUAUACUUAGAUAAACUAUGUAUAUAUAAAUUAUUAAUUUAUGAUUUUAAAGGGAUUAUAUAUUUACAAGAAAUUUUCUAAAAAAGAAUUAUGAUCUCAUUACCUUAUUGAAUUAUAUCAUAUUUUGAAUCAGGUUUGGAACAGAUGAAAUUAUUAAUUUAUCAUGUUUUUUUAUUUAUGUAGCUUUUAAUGUAUAAGUUAUUUUAUGUAUGUGUGUGUUUAAAUGGUUUCUUUCAUCUACAAGAAUUUUGCUAUCAUUGUGAUAUAAAUUUAGAAAUAUGCUAUUUUGGAGAUUUGCCCUUAAAUAAACCUAUAUAUUUUAAUGUUUGUCUUUUCCAAUUUAAUUAAUGAAUUUUCUUUAGUGAAAUUUAACUUAAUGUAAUUAAAUAAACCUAAAAAUACUGUCUUAUAGUAGGUUCUUCUGUUCGAUCUGGGGUGUUUCGGCGGUUAUGAGAUGGUGAGUGAUGGUUUGUUUCCGUCGAAGACCCAGUGAUGCGUUUGUUGGUUUGAACAGAUCCGGAUCUUCUUUCUGGUGCGCGGUGCAGUACUAAGUCGGCUCUGAUCUAGGGUGUUAAUUCUUCCAUCGGAUUUGUUGAAGCUUUGCUCAGGCAUGUCUCUUUGGAUCCUCGUUGUCGUCAAUCAACCUCGCUCCUGUUCCAUUUGCUUCAAUGGUUGAAGCGGUUCUAUGCGGCGCUUUAUUCCUCCUUUUGAAUGAGUCCGGUUUGGGUAAGGGGUUCUCUUCGAUCCCAUGGGUUUAGCUACUCUGCUUUGAUUUUUCUCAAGCUACAGGUUAGUUCAGUAUUGUGUGGUUCUUUUUUGAACUGUCUUGUUUCUAGCUUCUGGCUUCUUUAAAUCUCUUGGAUGAUGGCUUCUCUUCGAUCAACUACAAGGGUGGAAUUGGUUUGGCUUCAGCUCUGUAUGAUUUACCUAGUGAAGGUGUUGUGCUCCUGGGGGAGCGACGGUUUUGUCAUUAUUUCCGGAUCCUUAUGGAGCAACGGUUUGUGUCGAUUUGCUUCUACCGCAAUUUUUUCGAAGCAGGUUUUUUUUCUUCUUCUUAGCUUAACAAACUAAUGCUACUGUUAGGCCAUCGUAGUUCAAAAUUGGUGGAAUUGAUCUUAUAGAUACGGAUCUCCAGCUGGUUUCUUCUCAAGCUGCUACUGUGGAUAUUAGAAGAACCAAGCUGUUUGAAAAGUUCGUUUAUGCUUUAAUAGUUUGUCCCCUAAUCUUGGAUCUUUGAUGGCAAACAUGCUACAUAAAGCUUCCUUCUUUCAUGCCGGAGAAAGGAGCUAAGCUCAUCUGAUGAUUAGAGUUUAGAGCAUAUAUCUCUCGAUAAAAAUGGUGUUGCUACGAGCAUUGCUAUCAGCGUUACGCGGGUUCAUCGCUACCAAUCUUAUCUUGCGACUUGGGUCCCCACUAGCUACUAAUCCACUAUCCGAACAGAGGCUGUCAAUGGAGUCUCCAUGACUGGUUGACGAGCCUCUAGCAUGUUUCCUUUGUUUAUGCUUUGUUUGGGCACCUACUGGUGUUCUUUAUUUUCUGUUUUUUUCUUCUUUUAAUUUUGGUAACAUAUUCCUCCCAAUUCUCUGUUAAUGAGGUAUGUGUUGUUAGGGAGGCAGUUUGUUCUUUCUAAACUUCACAUUAUAAAAUACCAGUGUUAAAAAAAAAAGAAGAAUUUUGCUAUCAUUUCCGAAGGUAAACCACCGCAGAAAGACACUUUUGUCAAGCAAGUCAAUCAUUUUCUUCGAUUUCAGAUUAAAUCACUAUGAACUACUUAGCCCACAUAUCGACAUCCUACUACCCGAAAAUCUCUCUGAUCUCUAACACCUUUCUAUUUCUCAUAUUCUCCGGAAGAUAUACCAUUGUUUAUCAUUAGGGUUGGUUCAGAAUACUAUGCUCCUAUCAUGCGUCAUGCCGGCUCCGUGCAAUGGAGGUUUUCUUCUAGCGUGAAACCCCUACAAUGAUGUUAGGUAGAAUGACUGCAGUUGUGGCCGUCCUCUAUGGAAAAAUAUAUGUAAUGGGAGGUUGCAGGGCAGAUGAAUCUACGCAUUGGUCAGAGGGUUUCGAUACUAAGAUCAGAAUUGGGAAUCUUUACCUGACCCUGGCCCUGAGCCCCCCUUCUCUAAAAUCAAAGCAAUAGACGUGGUAGAGAGAAGUAUAUGUUAUAUAAGCAAUGAGCAUGACUAUGGUUAUUAUCCGAAUGCAGGUAAAUAGGAUGUUACAGGAAAAAAAAAAGAUUGGUGAUGUGUGACAGAGAAUAUAAGGUAUUGUUUAGUUGAGUAAAGAUUCUUCAGGUUUGUCGUUCUCACGAUUCCCAGUUCAUACGGUUUCUUCCGUACUCGACUGACUUAGUUUUGGUCAAAUAAAAAUGUAAUCAUACUCGGUAAUUGCCAAAAACGUCGUUUUUAGUAUUCUUAAAGCUAAUAGCUUUCUUUGUAUUCAACAAAAUACCAGAUAGCCUACUAAUGUACACAACUUUCACUUCAAUGAAGUAAAGAUAAGUAAGGAUGAACAAAGACAUAGAGAAGCCAUCCUAAAUCCCAAGUUAAAAAGUUCACUCUAUGGCUUCAGAUCAAUUAGGAGUAUAGACUAAACACAACUUGGUAAUAACAAGCAAUAGUCUAAAGAUAUAACCAUAGUAUACCUGACCAAUGAUCUCUCUAUUACAAGUCUGAAAAAAUCUUCAUCAACCACUUAAACUUCUAGUGCUUCGUUUCCUCCACAAAGUUACAGUCUUGGGGAGACUUUUAAGUAGGUUUUGAUGCUUCGGACAGAGCUUGGAAGACUCUUUGUUGGGUCAUAUCCUCGACAAUCAAAACUUUAUCUCGACACUUGGAUCCUGAACCCAAUGAAACUUGUCUUCUUUUCACCCCCAACACCUGUUUCACAUAACAUGUCAGAAUAAGAACGUGACUGAGAAACCCCAAACAAUUACAUCACAAAAUUAAACUAUGUGAGUAGUGACUAAUCCAUGAUUCAGCUAUAUAACGAAAGCUGAAAACUUUUUAUGCGAAGAAGAAACGAGAGAGAGAUUUACAGAGCUCAUGUACUCGAGAAGUGCAGCGUUAGCCUCACCAUCCCUUGCCGGAGCAUCGAUCUGAACGCCCACCGCUUCGUCGCUCACAUCUCCAGACCAAACCGAGUUAACCAAAUCAGUAAAUGUCUCAAAAUCGCUUUGCACAAAAGAAAGCAAAAUUACCGGUGAUGGAGGCAGAUUUGGAACCAGGCUUCGCGUGGAUGGUGAUGGCGACGGAGGAAGGCGUAAGGAGGCGCAAACAUGCCGGAAAGCUCGAAGUGUUAUCGGCGGUGGGUUUUACCGUCGUUGAUGCGGCCGAAUUGCUCUUCUUUCCUCUCUUCGUCGGAGCCAUGUUUUUUUAUCCGGCGAAGGAGGCUUCCUUUCUUAAUCGGUGGAAUCUUGUGUUUUUAUUUCAUAGGCUUUUUAGAAGGUCCAUUGGGCUUUGGAUUUGACGACGGAAUCAUUAUUUUUAUAACAUUUAUUUCUUCUUCUUUUUCGGUUAAAUGUUAAAUAUUAUACCAAGUUGUGACAGAAAUUACAAAGAAAACUACGGAAAUUAAACUAAACAUCAAAACUUAAUACAGAAAAAAAAGAUUCAACUGGCAACGGGAAUUCAAACUUUGAUUACAAACAUGAUUUGAACAAAAUGAUCUACAUCUGACUAAACAUCUUUAGCUUUGCUCGACCACCUCUAAACCGGCGCAUUCCGCUAAAUAGUUCAGUUAUCCUUGGACUAUCAAUCCCCGUUCUCAACCGUUGAUAGAAAGCAUUCGAGGGUGGCGUUCACCAAGUUUCCUUGGUUGCCGGUUCAUCUUAUGCCAUCAACAGAUUAGCUGGAUCUUGAUGAUCUCCUCACGCUCGCAAUCUCAGCUGACACUAAGCGCAUAGUUGAGUGAAUAGACCCGAGAGUUCAUACCUGAAAAAACCGGACUGGACGCCAUGGCGUGAGCACUCAACACCUAACAAGACCGGUUGAACUAUAGCUGCCUUUUCUCGUCGAAGCGGUACCUGUACCUGCAGUAAGAAGAAAGAAGGCAUACUACCGAAGCUUGCAAGGACAAAUUCCGAUAAUGGGAAGAACAACACUCCAAGUGCGUCGCCACGGACAGAGAUGAAGACUCCGGAGACUCACGAAGCACCACUAAUGUCCUCGCACUCCACCUCUUAGAACAAGAGGGAGGUUCUUCACUCAAAACCGUAGCCAACGGUGCGACGUUGGCCACACUAACCAUGAAGAACAAUACCCAAGAACUCUUCACCUAGGGCGUGCACUCCCAGAGAAGAGAAACCACCAAACAAGGCCAUGAACUGAAAGGCGAAGACCGGAGCAAAGUACCAAGAAGUGACGCCAAAGCGCAGACAACUCCACGCGCCACCAAGCCUGCUACUUUACACGCACCGUCGGAUACUUCAAACGACACUGCCGGAGGAAGCGAGACCGACGCACGCCUUGAAGGUAAACUACCGUCAAAGUCCGAACUGAGCGGAGUAGAAAGACUCCUCCUGCACCGAGACACCAAGGCGGAGGAGACAGAGCCGACACCACCGCACCACACAGACAAUGAUCCGAACAGAUCUGUGUCAAGGGAGCCGAUUCAGAGAAGCACGCGCCAGCAAGCUCCGGCUAGAUCCAGAUCGAGCAAAGAGGAAAAACGUCAAUCUGAAUCAAACCACCGUAAAAGCCGACCUCGCCACAUCCUGACCACCUUAGCCUCACCGCCACUCCGGAGGAAGCCGACCACCUGACAGAGCCAUCACCAGCGUCCCGGAUCUGAAGAUCUGAUGGUGGAUCGACUCUUAGAGUCUUAGCAUAUCGGACAAAGAGAUUUGAGGAGCUUAAGAGGCAAAAAAAAACGAGAUAAGGGGGAGAGGGGCCACCGGCAACGGCUCUGACACCGCUACCGGAGGAAAACAGAGCAACGGUUUGUGUCGAUUUGCUUCUACCGCAAUUUUUUCGAAGCAGGUUUUUUUUCUUCUUCUUAGCUUAACAAACUAAUGCUACUGUUAGGCCAUCGUAGUUCAAAAUUGGUGGAAUUGAUCUUAUAGAUACGGAUCUCCAGCUGGUUUCUUCUCAAGCUGCUACUGUGGAUAUUAGAAGAACCAAGCUGUUUGAAAAGUUCGUUUAUGCUUUAAUAGUUUGUCCCCUAAUCUUGGAUCUUUGAUGGCAAACAUGCUACAUAAAGCUUCCUUCUUUCAUGCCGGAGAAAGGAGCUAAGCUCAUCUGAUGAUUAGAGUUUAGAGCAUAUAUCUCUCGAUAAAAAUGGUGUUGCUACGAGCAUUGCUAUCAGCGUUACGCGGGUUCAUCGCUACCAAUCUUAUCUUGCGACUUGGGUCCCCACUAGCUACUAAUCCACUAUCCGAACAGAGGCUGUCAAUGGAGUCUCCAUGACUGGUUGACGAGCCUCUAGCAUGUUUCCUUUGUUUAUGCUUUGUUUGGGCACCUACUGGUGUUCUUUAUUUUCUGUUUUUUUCUUCUUUUAAUUUUGGUAACAUAUUCCUCCCAAUUCUCUGUUAAUGAGGUAUGUGUUGUUAGGGAGGCAGUUUGUUCUUUCUAAACUUCACAUUAUAAAAUACCAGUGUUAAAAAAAAAAGAAGAAUUUUGCUAUCAUUUCCGAAGGUAAACCACCGCAGAAAGACACUUUUGUCAAGCAAGUCAAUCAUUUUCUUCGAUUUCAGAUUAAAUCACUAUGAACUACUUAGCCCACAUAUCGACAUCCUACUACCCGAAAAUCUCUCUGAUCUCUAACACCUUUCUAUUUCUCAUAUUCUCCGGAAGAUAUACCAUUGUUUAUCAUUAGGGUUGGUUCAGAAUACUAUGCUCCUAUCAUGCGUCAUGCCGGCUCCGUGCAAUGGAGGUUUUCUUCUAGCGUGAAACCCCUACAAUGAUGUUAGGUAGAAUGACUGCAGUUGUGGCCGUCCUCUAUGGAAAAAUAUAUGUAAUGGGAGGUUGCAGGGCAGAUGAAUCUACGCAUUGGUCAGAGGGUUUCGAUACUAAGAUCAGAAUUGGGAAUCUUUACCUGACCCUGGCCCUGAGCCCCCCUUCUCUAAAAUCAAAGCAAUAGACGUGGUAGAGAGAAGUAUAUGUUAUAUAAGCAAUGAGCAUGACUAUGGUUAUUAUCCGAAUGCAGGUAAAUAGGAUGUUACAGGAAAAAAAAAAGAUUGGUGAUGUGUGACAGAGAAUAUAAGGUAUUGUUUAGUUGAGUAAAGAUUCUUCAGGUUUGUCGUUCUCACGAUUCCCAGUUCAUACGGUUUCUUCCGUACUCGACUGACUUAGUUUUGGUCAAAUAAAAAUGUAAUCAUACUCGGUAAUUGCCAAAAACGUCGUUUUUAGUAUUCUUAAAGCUAAUAGCUUUCUUUGUAUUCAACAAAAUACCAGAUAGCCUACUAAUGUACACAACUUUCACUUCAAUGAAGUAAAGAUAAGUAAGGAUGAACAAAGACAUAGAGAAGCCAUCCUAAAUCCCAAGUUAAAAAGUUCACUCUAUGGCUUCAGAUCAAUUAGGAGUAUAGACUAAACACAACUUGGUAAUAACAAGCAAUAGUCUAAAGAUAUAACCAUAGUAUACCUGACCAAUGAUCUCUCUAUUACAAGUCUGAAAAAAUCUUCAUCAACCACUUAAACUUCUAGUGCUUCGUUUCCUCCACAAAGUUACAGUCUUGGGGAGACUUUUAAGUAGGUUUUGAUGCUUCGGACAGAGCUUGGAAGACUCUUUGUUGGGUCAUAUCCUCGACAAUCAAAACUUUAUCUCGACACUUGGAUCCUGAACCCAAUGAAACUUGUCUUCUUUUCACCCCCAACACCUGUUUCACAUAACAUGUCAGAAUAAGAACGUGACUGAGAAACCCCAAACAAUUACAUCACAAAAUUAAACUAUGUGAGUAGUGACUAAUCCAUGAUUCAGCUAUAUAACGAAAGCUGAAAACUUUUUAUGCG
RNAcentral lists this long non-coding RNA (14113 nucleotides) under Brassica napus (rape). RNAcentral's name for it is "long non-coding RNA (BNAP_LNC026575)". The record is from RNAcentral. Lineage: Eukaryota; Viridiplantae; Streptophyta; Magnoliopsida; Brassicales; Brassicaceae.